The sequence is a transfer RNA, 103 nucleotides long. It matches the Rfam family "tRNA". Rfam says of the family: Transfer RNA (tRNA) molecules are approximately 80 nucleotides in length. Their secondary structure includes four short double-helical elements and three loops (D, anti-codon, and T loops). The record is from Rfam.
ACACCGUUGGUGAAGUGGUUAUCAUGCUUGCCUUCCAUGAAGAACAAGUGUUCUAGAUUCAUGUGAUUAGCAAGCGGCUCGGGUUCGAUUCCCGAACGGUGUA